GCUCCAAUAGCGUAUAUUUAAGUUGUUGCAGUUAAAAAGCUCGUAGUUGGAUUUCGGGUGUGAACGGCCGGUCCGUCUUUGAUGUGUACUGGUUGGUUGCGCCUUAUUGUCGAGGACAUGUUCUGGCUUUCAUUAGCUGGACAUGGAGUCGGCAGCGUUACUUUGAGAAAAUUAGAGUGUUCAAAGCAGGCUAUCGCUCU
This 200-nucleotide ribosomal RNA is filed under the name uncultured eukaryote. RNAcentral describes it as "partial 18S ribosomal RNA". It matches the Rfam family "Eukaryotic small subunit ribosomal RNA", at positions 588 to 794 of the family's 1831-position model. The record is from RNAcentral.